Long non-coding RNA from Mercenaria mercenaria, 2378 nucleotides. RefSeq lists it as uncharacterized. NCBI's taxonomy places the organism in Eukaryota, Metazoa, Mollusca, Bivalvia, Venerida, Veneridae. The transcript is spliced from 3 exons. The record is from RefSeq and is a predicted model, not a curated record.
UUGUCUUUGUUUUUUUUGUUUAUUAUUGUUUCAGUGUUAUGUGUGUAUCCGUAUGCGCGCGUUCGUGUUUUUUUCGUUCGUGCGUGCGUGUGUGUGUAUGCGCGCGUGUGUGUUUAUGUGCCAAUACAUUUCUAAGUACCAUGAUACACUAUGCCAUAUAAAGUGUUUUGUUUAACCUUUAUACUACUGUUACUCAGUAUUGUUUUUAGUGUUAUGCACUCGUUCUACUCCUACCCAAUUACAUUCCUCCAAUGAUUUUAUUACCAAAUAAUUGCAACACACAAGUAAACAUUUAUUAUUGAAAAAGACGCAAGUUUAUUAUUUUGCAGUCUAGAUAUUUAUUGCGAUAUUGAUCUAGUGUUAUGAAUGAUGGAUAUAUUCUCAAUAGUUCAUUAACAUUUGAAGAAAGUCGUUAAUGUCAAAUUACGUGUAUGUCUACGAAGUAAAGUUUAAAGAAUGUGUGUUACCUCACUCCCAUUUGGUGAUGUUGGCUUAAACUGCUGCUGGUGCUGCUGUUGGAACGACACGUGCUCUAGCUGUUCUUUUAACCGGUGUUUCUAAAGCAUUGUAUACCAAAUAGUGGCAUUGUACUGCUGGUGCGUAGAUUCUACUUUAAUUGUAUUAAUUGAUAAUGUUUGCUAAUAGGCUAAUUAGACACCUUUUAAAAUUACAAGACGUCCUAAUCAUCCAAAUAAUGGAUAUUAGAAAUCCAUUUGUACGUUCUUUAAGACAGUAUCGGAGAGCCUGAUGACAAAAUCUCCUAGUUCUAAACAUAAUUGCUGCACAUACGGCACAUCAACACAAUAAAUGUUAGAAGAGGCAAAAUAGGAUCGAAAUAGGAAUAUGAGGUACAGAUUCAAAAACUAUUAGAUCUACUGUAGAAACAGCAAAAUCAAACGUUCAGACCCUAUUAGUCGCUAGUUGCUGCUGCAAAAAUCGAGCUGGCAAAACUAAAAACAAAACACCAUAUUCCUGUUAACGUAAGAAAGUUUGUUUACUUGGAUUCAAAACAUUUCGCGGUAAGUAUCGCAGUACGGACCAAAAAUUAAGAUGAUUCAUUUAUGAAAUGAUAGAGCCGGUAAAUCAUAAACUAUAUAAUUAUGUAUUAUUGUUAAGAAUUUUGAGAUAGGAAGUAUGUCUUUAAAACGAGAUGCAAGGCUCAUUUAAAUAUAUUUCGUUUGUAAAAUUAUUCAUGCCUUAUGAUAUUAAGACCUUUUAAUAGUAUGGCACAUAAUGGCACUCAUAAUUUAACGAGGCAUAUGAAGAUAUGCCCUCGGGCCAUUAUGAAACUAGGUGUGCCAUUAUGGCUAGAAGGCACAACCAAGCCGUAUAUUAACCUCUUAAUAAAUAUAUAUAUAAGACUUGUAUGGUAUUCCCUUUAGUAUUUAGAGACAAGGACAAAAACAUUCAACAGGAAAAGCAACAUUCAAAUAGUGCAGCCAUCCUUACAAUAGCCCACAUUUAAAUAGAUUUAUACACGUGUUAACCUACUGAGCUCAGGUAUACAAAGAAGCAUUUAGAAGGGAAAUGAAAAUUGAGAGUCAGACCAUCGAACACCGAAUACUAAUUGUAUAUCUAUAUAUUGACCAUGUGCAACCUGUUUGCACACUUAUAUCAUGUAUACUACCUGAUGCAUAAAGAGCGGUAUGUAAGCAUGUCUAAACAAACACACCAUUGUUGUUGUUCAUUUUCAAUCGUACUCAAUAAACAAACACUAUUUUUUACACAAGGUUGACCUAUAUUAUGACAAUGCCUUGUUAUUUCUAACGUAUAUAGUAAUACAGUUUGCUCCGCGUUUAGAUGGUGAUGCGCAUCAGGAGGUAAGCAGUAAAAAUGGUAAAGCAAUUAUUGGAGCUUCGGUUGGAGGUGCUGCUGUGGUUUGUCUGGUUUUAGUGAUAAUAGUUGUUUUGAUUUACAAAUUCAGGAUCAAACCAAACAGAACAGAAAGCAAAAACGUGUACGCCGGCCUAGAUCUUUCUAUGACACCUGCUGAUGCAUCAGCAUACGACACCUUACACAAUUCUCAAGACAAACUUGGCUCAAGCCACACUGGUGACUACGUGAAUUUAAGUGUGAUGGGCAGAUGAUCAACCAUGUUUACGUUUAGCUUCGAAGACGUUAUGAAAAUAGACACAUUAGUGAACGUUCACAAUUGCUGAUUACUAUAGAAACAUUAACUCAUGAUAUUUCCAAAUGUGUAAAUUCGCAUAAUUUCUAUAUUUUGAUAGCGAUAUAGUUAUUUGAAAAUAAUUUAAUACAUCUGAAUCUGUGUUUGUCAAUGAGAAUUGUUCGAGGGUGAAGCCGUGUCAUGAGUUUCAUCUAAUAUAAUGAUACAACAUCAAAUAUGUUUGAACAAUAAAUUGACCAAUAAGCUUUUA